RNAcentral lists this ribosomal RNA (373 nucleotides) under uncultured organism. RNAcentral describes it as "partial 16S ribosomal RNA". It matches the Rfam family "Bacterial small subunit ribosomal RNA", at positions 527 to 896 of the family's 1533-position model. The record is from RNAcentral.
GUAGGUGGCAAGCGUUGUCCGGAAUUAUUGGGCGUAAAGCGCGCGCAGGCGGUCCUUUAAGUCUGAUGUGAAAGCCCGCGGCUCAACCGUGGAGGGUCAUUGGAAACUGGGGGACUUGAGUACAGAAGAGGAAAGCGGAAUUCCAAGUGUAGCGGUGAAAUGCGUAGAGAUUUGGAGGAACACCAGUGGCGAAGGCGGCUUUCUGGUCUGUAACUGACGCUGAGGCGCGAAAGCGUGGGGAGCAAGCAGGGAUUAGAUACCCUGGUAGUCCACGCCGUAAACGAUGAGUGCUAAGUGUUAGGGGGUUUCCCGCCCCUUAGUGCUGCAGCUAACGCAUUAAGCACUCCGCCUGGGGAGUACGGCCGCAAGGCUG